AUAUCUCAGAUAAAGGCUGUGCUGCUCUGACCUCAGCUCUGAGAUCAAACCCCUCACACCUGAGAGAACUGGAUCUGUCUGAGAAUAAACUCAGCCACUCAGGAGUGAAGCGUCUCUCUGCUGUACUGGAGAAUCCUGACUGUAAACUGGAGACACUGAGGUUGCGUUAUUGUGAUAUCUCAGAAAAAGGCUGUGCUGCUCUGACUUCAGCUCUGAGAUCAAACCCCUCCCACCUGAGAAAACUGGAUCUGUCUUGGAAUGAACUCAGAGACUCAGGAGUGAAGUGUCUCUCUGCUGUACUGGAGAAUCCUCACUGUAAACUGGAGACACUGAGGUUGCGUGACUGUGAUAUCUCAGAUGAAGGCUGUUCUGCUCUGACUUCAGCUCUGAGAUCAAACCCCUCACACCUGAGAGAACUGGAUCUGUCUUGGAAUAAACUCAGAGACUCAGAAAAGGAGCAGCUCUUCAGUCUUAAACUACAGGACUUGAGGGUGUGAAGAAUUUUCAUCUGAUGCAGACUCCAGAGAAGAUGUUUUUAAUGAAAUGUGCUCGACUCUUAGCGGCAUUUCCUGGACUUUUUUUUCUCACACUGGGAAAUAAUCUGAAUUAAAUGUAAUACAUUUCCACAAAGUGUAAGUGCAGACAGUGUGUCAGUGAUGUACAGAACCAUUUCAUUUAUAAGAUAUAUUACAGAGAUUAAGAGAGAGAAAGGGGGAUUAUGGGAUGAUUAAUGUCUGUACAUCAGAAAUAUGUGUGAAAUACUUGUUUCAGACUCGAAAACAGAGAAAAAGAAGAAGCUUCUCCAUUUUCCUAUGCCCAAAUUUUCUGGACUAGUUUAAGGUCUUUGUGGUUUUUGAGAUGUAGUUGGAAUGGACAUUUUGCUGUAACCUCUAAACCCUGGUUAAUAAUAUGACACAGUUGAAGGUAAAGUCUAAACCCACUUGUAACAAGCUGCGAGACUGUACGCUGGAUGACUGUAAAUUGUCGACUCUCAACUGCCUUUUAUGGAGUUGCUGUAAAAAUUCACUAGAUAGUCGUCUAGAGCAUAAGUCAAGUGUGAUAGCCUCUCCACUUGAUUUUCUCUGCGGCUAUGUUGUUGUUGUUAAUGUCGGCCAGCUCCACUAAAAUCUAUGGUCAAGAGCUGCUGCUGCGUGUAGCUGUGAUUCUUCAUGCAUCAUAGGACUUUACAGAGUGGUGUUGCAGCGCUACUAUCAGCAAUAAGCACUUACUGAAGCUCAAUUAAUUAUUUUUAUUAUUACACAAUUCCACAGUUAUACACUACAGAAUCCGGACAUCAUGGCAGAACUCAAGUUCUGGUUAAGGUUUUAGUUGCUCUGGUCUUCACUUCAGCCCAUGUCUUCCACCAUUCUACCCCUCUAUCACAUCAUCUGGUUGGAAGACUCUGAAAGAGAUCACCAUGGCUGAAGCAGUGACUAUUUACUCAACAUGCGAAUGCUACUCUGUUAUCUUUCCUGUAAACACUGCUUGUUUGUUUUUGUAACUUUCUGAAGAUAUCUCAUUGCUGUGACUGACAUUUGUUAUACAGUCUCCUCCGAAAGUACUGGAACAGCAAGGCCAAUUCUUUUUUUUUUUUUUUUUUUUUUUUUUUUUCUUUUCUAUACACUGAAGAUGUUUGGGUUUGAGAUCAAAAAAAUUAAUGAGAUGAUAGAUGAGAAUUUCAGCUUUCACUUCCUGAUAUUUAAAACUAGAUGUGUUAAACAACUUAGAACAUAGCACCACCCAAUUUUUGGUGAGCAAAAGUAUUAGAACAGAUAAUCUUAGAAUAAAUAACAUGUAAUAUUUGGUUGCGUAUCCCUUGCUUGCAUCAAUUGAAUCAAGCAGGUGACCCACUGACAUCAUCAAACUGUCGCAUUCUUUUUUUAAUACUUUUCCAGGCUUGUACUGAAGCUUAUUUCAGAUAUUGUUUGUUUUGGGGGGUUUCUCUCUUUAGUCUCCUCUUCAGGAGGUGAAAUGCAGCUCAGUGGGAUUAAGAUCUGGUGAUUGACUUCGUCAGUCUAAAACCUUCCACUUUUUCCCCUGAUGAAGUCCAUUGUUGUCUCCCCCAAUUGUUUUUGUUUAUGAUAAAUAUAUUUUAGAGGAGUUAUUUGAUCAUUAAUAAAAGGGUGUGGUGGAUGAGGUGCUUGACAGUUUUGGACAUGACAAUCAAGCCUAAUUAACACGCAUGCACUUUCCAACACAUACCUGAAGUUCUUGACAGUUCUGUAACAAAGCCAUGUCUUGUUCUGCUAUAAACUCAUAUCCUGCAGAGCAUCUCAAAAAAUAGUUUGUGUUGAGCGUAAAUGUUGACUGUAUUUACAUUUUCAGUCACAUUAGCUACUUACAUUUACAUCACUUUGAUUAAAAUGAUGUAUAAUGAGCUAGCUAGCCAAUUGUAGCUCAGUCAGUCAUGACUCAAAGCUCUAAAAUCUUUUCCCGACAUCAGUAAAAUCAAUAUACCUGUGAAAAUUACACAUUCAUCAUUUUACAUAUAAAUUAAUAACACUGUGCUUAUCACAAUAAGUUUGCCAAUGCACCAUUUUUAGUUGCACUUUAGGUAAUGAAUUGUGAAUGUGUAUUUAUGAAUGUCCAUCACUAAGGUGGGCAGGCGAGAGGCAGGUAAGAUGGGCAGUGUGUAAUGCCUGACUGUGUUGCGACUGGACCAAUCACUGAUUAUUAUUGUUUCCAGCAACCAAUCACUGACAACCACUAUUUCUCCCACCAUCGCCCUUUUUUGUUCGUUUUAAGCUAUCUUCCUGGAUAUCGUAAUAAAAGCGAGUAACUGUUUCCUUACUACUUACCUUUCAAGACUACUCUAAUGUCAUGACCUCUUUUUGUGUGGUAUUUUGUACAAAUGUAAAAGUUUAUUUCAAGAAAUAAAGAAAUAACUGUAA
This is a long non-coding RNA of Pangasianodon hypophthalmus (striped catfish), 2891 nucleotides long. RefSeq lists it as uncharacterized. NCBI's taxonomy places the organism in Eukaryota, Metazoa, Chordata, Actinopteri, Siluriformes, Pangasiidae. The record is from RefSeq and is a predicted model, not a curated record. The transcript is spliced from 4 exons.